UCGAAAAGCGUUGAAAUGACGUCACUUAGGUCACAGGCAGGUCACAGGGGAAAGUGAUCGAACCGCCAUUUUCCCAACUGCGCAUGCUCCAAAUCCAAAGAUGGCUGUCGACAGUGAACGUGGCGACUCAGCAUCACAGAACAAAAGGGCCCCAGCAACAACAGUGUUACCCCAGAAGGCCUGGCUGUGGGACGCAUCAUGCAGCGGACUGGACAAAGACACAAGCCUGUUCUGCCAAGCAAAAAGGACUUUGUCGUACAUAUGAAACUCCACCAUGACUGUGACACUGAACACACCGUUUGUUUUCCAGCUGUAAGUGCUUGUAGUCGUACAGUCACAUUCCCCUCAGCUCACCUGAAAACAUCCAGUGAAUUCAAAAACAUUUGGACACUAGCGAACUUUUGACAGUGUAACCACUCAGUCUAAAGGAAAACAACAAAGUCACUGUGACAUGUGUAAUCAUAUGUUUUAUUCUUUUGUAAUUUUUGUGACAACUUCCUGUUUCAGUCAACUUUUUGUAUUCACUGUUAGAAAACAAUUGUUUUUCUGUUAAUAAUGGUUUACUCCAAAGUUAGUUUUUGCUAAAUACUCUUCAGGGUACCCACAGUAAUUUUUGGUUUUCACAAAUUUAAUUCUGAUGAAUGUAAUGGAAAUUUCAAGGGAAAGUUCAAUGUUUUUCAAUAAAAAUGUUUGGGA
Molecule: long non-coding RNA, 696 nt
Organism: Scatophagus argus
Lineage: Eukaryota; Metazoa; Chordata; Actinopteri; Scatophagidae
Exons: 2
Source: RefSeq, a predicted model, not a curated record